Long non-coding RNA from Pogona vitticeps (central bearded dragon), 341 nucleotides. RefSeq lists it as uncharacterized. Lineage: Eukaryota; Metazoa; Chordata; Lepidosauria; Squamata; Agamidae. The record is from RefSeq and is a predicted model, not a curated record.
GGCACAAGGAGAGCUGUAAAUUCUGCUCACUGAGCCAGCUAAGUGUGGAAGACAACUACUGUAGUUUGUUUUUUUGUCCACUACCAUUCCAUCUGCCAAGCCUCCUUGGAACUCCCUGUGGCUUGGCUUGACUGAUGAUCCUGCUUCUGCCUGCUCCCUGCUGAUAGAUGCUGUGGACACUCAUGAUUUACAAAGAGACAAACAGCCCUGUCUGCUUCUAAGAGAAACAAGCAAAAGAAGCGAAAACAGUCGGUGAACAGAGAGCUCGUCAUGAGAUGAAACCUCAGUGGCGGCAAAAAGGAACUGAGGCAGUUACAUGUACUGGGGGGGGGGUAGUCCUG